GCGGGUGUGGCGGAAUUGGCAGACGCACUGGAUUUAGGUUCCAGCGCCGCAGGGCGUGGGGGUUCAAGUCCCUUCACCCGCACCA
RNAcentral lists this transfer RNA (85 nucleotides) under Paracoccaceae bacterium. RNAcentral's name for it is "Rhodobacteraceae bacterium (wastewater metagenome) tRNA-Leu". It matches the Rfam family "tRNA". From Rfam's summary of the family: Transfer RNA (tRNA) molecules are approximately 80 nucleotides in length. The record is from RNAcentral. Lineage: Bacteria; Pseudomonadati; Pseudomonadota; Alphaproteobacteria; Rhodobacterales; Paracoccaceae.